AUUUCCCUUCGCUGUGCGUGAUUGGAAUGUUAGCCUUUCCUCCGAUGUUUGAAAUAUUAGGGACCUAACGCUUUGCUGAUUGAACGCCAGGCCUUAACUGGAAGGCGGGAUUUCAGAGCGCUCCCUUUUCUGUACAUAAAGGGACGAAAGGUCUCAUUCACACGGCAGCGAGGGGAUUUU
Molecule: non-coding RNA, 180 nt
Filed under: Methylacidiphilum sp. Yel
Lineage: Bacteria; Pseudomonadati; Verrucomicrobiota; Methylacidiphilae; Methylacidiphilales; Methylacidiphilaceae
Description: 6S RNA
Rfam family: 6S / SsrS RNA
About the family: E. coli 6S RNA was the first non coding RNA to be sequenced, but its function was unknown until recently. It consists of 184 nucleotides that fold into an extended hairpin structure with a large single-stranded internal bulge.
Source: RNAcentral